UAAAGGUUUUUCGGACAUUAAUGUCAUUAAGAUGGGAUAAUAAUUCUAAGGAAGAAAAGAAUGAAAUGAUCAAUAGCAUCAUGGAAAUUGUCAAACAUUGCAGAUCUAAGCAAAGAAGGAAAGCUUGCCAUUAAAAGUUUCGUUCUACCUUACCUGGAGAUGGUCGCCGACGAACGAAAUGCUCUCAUUCAAAGAUUUGAGGUGCGUGCAAACUGGAUGAAGUUCAAGUUCACCCUUAAAUUGCAGAUUUGAAGAAACGAUGUUAAAUAAUCACGACUUUAUAAAUAAUCUUUUCCUUAUCGUAUUGGUAGUGUUUACAACCAUGCAGUAACAAAAUAUUAACAUAGAACUUGUAGAACUUGUAUUGGUGUAGUGUUUAUAACCAUGCAACUACAGAAUGUUAACGUAAAACAUAUAUAACUGGUAUUGAUGGUGUUUAUAACCAU
Molecule: long non-coding RNA, 446 nt
Organism: Xenia sp. Carnegie-2017
Lineage: Eukaryota; Metazoa; Cnidaria; Anthozoa; Malacalcyonacea; Xeniidae
Exons: 3
Source: RefSeq, a predicted model, not a curated record